GGUGGGAUGCCAGAGUCCGGUUGAAUGGGCCGCACUCGAAAUGCGGUAUCCCGCUUUAGCGGGAUCGGGGGUUCAAAUCCCUCUCCCACCG
This 91-nucleotide transfer RNA is filed under the name Candidatus Sungiibacteriota bacterium. RNAcentral's name for it is "Candidatus Sungbacteria bacterium tRNA-Ser". It matches the Rfam family "tRNA". Rfam says of the family: Transfer RNA (tRNA) molecules are approximately 80 nucleotides in length. Their secondary structure includes four short double-helical elements and three loops (D, anti-codon, and T loops). The record is from RNAcentral. Lineage: Bacteria; Candidatus Sungiibacteriota.